This 1357-nucleotide ribosomal RNA is filed under the name uncultured bacterium. RNAcentral's name for it is "bacterial SSU rRNA". It matches the Rfam family "Bacterial small subunit ribosomal RNA", at positions 28 to 1381 of the family's 1533-position model. The record is from RNAcentral.
AUUGAACGCUGGCGGCAGGCCUAACACAUGCAAGUCGAGCGGUAGAGAGGAGCUUGCUCCUCUUGAGAGCGGCGGACGGGUGAGUAAUGCCUAGGAAUCUGCCUGGUAGUGGGGGAUAACGUUCGGAAACGGACGCUAAUACCGCAUACGUCCUACGGGAGAAAGCAGGGGACCUUCGGGCCUUGCGCUAUCAGAUGAGCCUAGGUCGGAUUAGCUAGUUGGUGAGGUAAUGGCUCACCAAGGCGACGAUCCGUAACUGGUCUGAGAGGAUGAUCAGUCACACUGGAACUGAGACACGGUCCAGACUCCUACGGGAGGCAGCAGUGGGGAAUAUUGGACAAUGGGCGAAAGCCUGAUCCAGCCAUGCCGCGUGUGUGAAGAAGGUCUUCGGAUUGUAAAGCACUUUAAGUUGGGAGGAAGGGCAGUAAAUUAAUACUUUGCUGUUUUGACGUUACCGACAGAAUAAGCACCGGCUAACUCUGUGCCAGCAGCCGCGGUAAUACAGAGGGUGCAAGCGUUAAUCGGAAUUACUGGGCGUAAAGCGCGCGUAGGUGGUUUGUUAAGUUGGAUGUGAAAUCCCCGGGCUCAACCUGGGAACUGCAUUCAAAACUGACUGACUAGAGUAUGGUAGAGGGUGGUGGAAUUUCCUGUGUAGCGGUGAAAUGCGUAGAUAUAGGAAGGAACACCAGUGGCGAAGGCGACCACCUGGACUAAUACUGACACUGAGGAGCGAAAGCGUGGGAGCAAACAGGAUUAGAUACCCUGGUAGUCCACGCCGUAAACGAUGUCAACUAGCCGUUGGAAGCCUUGAGCUUUUAGUGGCGCAGCUAACGCAUUAAGUUGGCCGCCUGGGGAGUACGGCCGCAAGGUUAAAACUCAAAUGAAUUGACGGGGGCCCGCACAAGCGGUGGAGCAUGUGGUUUAAUUCGAAGCAACGCGAAGAACCUUACCAGGCCUUGACAUCCAAUGAACUUUCUAGAGAUAGAUUGGUGCCUUCGGGAGCAUUGAGACAGGUGCUGCAUGGCUGUCGUCAGCUCGUGUCGUGAGAUGUUGGGUUAAGUCCCGUAACGAGCGCAACCCUUGUCCUUAGUUACCAGCACGUAAUGGUGGGCACUCUAAGGAGACUGCCGGUGACAAACCGGAGGAAGGUGGGGAUGACGUCAAGUCAUCAUGGCCCUUACGGCCUGGGCUACACACGUGCUACAAUGGUCGGUACAGAGGGUUGCCAAGCCGCGAGGUGGAGCUAAUCCCACAAAACCGAUCGUAGUCCGGAUCGCAGUCUGCAACUCGACUGCGUGAAGUCGGAAUCGCUAGUAAUCGCGAAUCAGAAUGUCGCGGUGAAUACGUUCCCGGGCCU